RNAcentral lists this long non-coding RNA (542 nucleotides) under Homo sapiens (human). RNAcentral describes it as "HSALNT0252539". Lineage: Eukaryota; Metazoa; Chordata; Mammalia; Primates; Hominidae. The record is from RNAcentral.
CUCAAUACUGUUAAGAUAAACAUUUUCUGCAAAUUAAGCAAUAGAUUAAGCUCAAGGCUAUUCAAAGUUAUAGCUGACUUAAAAAUUACUAAUGCACAAGCAGACAAUAAAAUAUAUAUGGUAUAGAAAAUAACCUAGACUAGCCAAAUAAUUUUGAAGGGCAACAAAGUCUGAGAACUUAGUGUACUAUAAUGCUACAGUAGUCAUGAAGAAAAUAUACGUGUAGAUCUUCUCAAAAAAAUACAGCACAACGUGGGCAACAGUUUCUGUAUGACACAAAAUGAAUUUUACUGGAAAUGAACUUCUAAACAGAAACCAACAUCACAGCAAUGUCUUUACGCCAAAAAAAAAAAAAAAAAAAAAAAAAGAUAAAAGAGCAUUGGAGCAAGAUGGUGGAACUCGAUAUCUCUGGGUAUCACUUCUCCCACAAAAAUACAACUAGGAACUAUUCAAGAACAAGAAUAUUUCCUUCAGUUCAACAGAACCUGCGGAGGAAGUAAAGAAAUGCCCUGAUCUCGCAAGACUGAGAGGAACCACAACAG